Molecule: long non-coding RNA, 1755 nt
Organism: Trachemys scripta elegans
Lineage: Eukaryota; Metazoa; Chordata; Testudines; Emydidae
Exons: 4
Source: RefSeq, a predicted model, not a curated record
UAAUUUUUCACAAGGCUUUACUUAUAACUAGAGACAAGGUCUCUGCCCCCCAGAGAAAUUCCCAGGGAAGCUGCUAGGAGCAUGGGAGGCUAUUUUCGCUCCUAUCUAUGGAAGGCACGAAAGAGGGCACCAAAGGAUGGGGGCCAUUGAAUGGUUGAUCUAGAGGAAGAGAUGGGUCUUGUCCUAUCCCCACUGGAGUGAGUGUCCGCAUGCUGGCAAGGAGGCGUUUACAGCACACUGCAGGGAUCUCACUGCGGGAGAAGGAAGCCAGUGAAGAAAGGUUUGCCGAGCGUUGGCAGCAGCCACUGAAUGCGAUACGGCACGACGGGACUCGCCGUUUGGGGGAGAACAUGCAAGUCCAUCUGAGCCUGACGAAUCCUUGCUUUGGCAGCGGUUUUGCUUUGCAAGGAGAGGCACAGAAGCCACCAGCUGUGGCCAGAACAGGUGGGCGGACUGUAGAGACUACAGCUCCGUUGGCAAUCUAUUACACCACCACCUGCAUCCCUCCAGAUUUUGGAACUUCAGUGACAAGCCAGGGAGGUUUUGGAUCGGACCUAUCAGCUGUGCUUCGACACGAUGCAAAAAGGGCUGAAUUUUGUCAGCAUCUGAGACGGUUUCAGUGCCACUGAUUUCUUUCGCUUCCCACCCCUGCGAUUCCAAAGUAAGCGAGGGUGGGGCAGCUUAUGCGGUGUAGCAGUACGACUCUUGCAACACAUCUCAAGCUCUGCUCCGAGGGACAGACAUGCCUGUUAUGGUCCCACAGUGCUUUUCAGCCCGGGGAGCUCAAUGAGCUAGAGAAGAGAGCACCAGGUUUCAAGCCAGACACCUCUUGCUUGUUCGAUCUGCUGUUCUUGUGAUGACUUCCUCUGUGGCUUUCAACAAGCCACAACUUCUGCACCACCUCUCUUCCACUCAACCCUCCUGCCCCGGGCGUAACGUGCAAAUGCUAACUGACGGGCUCCAGAUUGAUAUGUACAGCACUUCCCAGCACAGAGACCGUGAACUGGUAAGUAUCUGCCAUGAGGUCAUCAUUGGAAGGCAUGUCUUUUGAAAGGAGACUAUUUCUUUUAAAGCCACCUGAAGCAGAUCAGCAAGUUUACUAGCCAACCUCUGCUAUCAGAAACCUGGCUGAGAGCAAAGGUUUUGAGGGGGCAGGAGAGACCAAGGGGAAGAUCCUCAGUUCCCACUUUGACCCAGUGCCCCCCGUUGGGAAGUCUGAACACUGACACUUUGAGGCACACAGCAGUGCUUGGUUAGGAAGAAGCUCCGCGGAAGAACUCUGAGAGGAAGAUGGUUUGUAGCCCAGGAAGGGGCAACUGUCAGAGUGAGGAUCAUUCUGAACAUUGGCAGGAGCCACGACACUGCUCUCUAUCAACUUCAUCAAAAACUGUUCCCUCCCCUGGAUUUCCCACUAGGACUCCCAAGGUCUCCUGGGGCAAAAAGAAGAGCCCAGCUUCCCCACACUGUGGCAAAAACACCGGGAAGUGCCCGCUGCUCCCCUGGCUUGGAUGACCAGCCCUUCACAGCAGCUCACCCACCCCUCCUCGGCUGGCGCAGCGAGAGCUCCCCCAAUUUUACUGAAUGGCAGAGAUCGUCACCUAUACAGUACCAAGCACACCUUUGGUUAGAUCUACGGUGCACGGCUCACAAAUGGAUUUAGAUCAAGAAUCACCAUCCACAUGCAGUUGCUCAACGUUGAGAGAGGCAGACCUGAAAGGGGCUGCAAAGCUCACGGUGGUUUAUGCUUUGGUUGGG